AUAUGAAUCCCUCACCACUAACAGGCCAACCUAUACUACGAUAGGAGAAUUAAUGCUAGAAUGAGUAACCAGGGUAACUCCCUCUACGACGCAAGCUUACAUCUGUACAUUAUUAACAAGCACCCAAUAUACGACAAAUCCAACAAGCAGAGUAUUAAACACCUUGUUAACCCGACAGAGGAGCGUCCGUUAAGAAAGAUUAAAACCUGUAAAAGGAACUCGGCAAACACGUCAAGGCCCGACUGUUUACCAAAAACAUAGCCUUCAGCAAACCAAAGGACAAGUAUUGAAGGUGAUGCCUGCCCGGUGACAUAGUUCAACGGCCGCGGUAUCCUAACCGUGCAAAGGUAGCGCAAUCAAUUGUCCCAUAAAUCGGGACACGUAUGAAUGGCUAAACGAGGUCUUAACUGUCUCUUACAGGCAAUCGGUGAAAUUGAUCUCCCUGUGCAAAAGCAGGGAUAACCACAUAAGACGAGAAGACCCUGUGGAACUUCAAAAACAGCAACCACCCCAAUAUACAUUCACACCCAAAGCACUGGUUAGCAUUUUUUCGGUUGGGGCGACCUUGGAGCAAAGCAAAACCUCCAAAAAUUGGACCAUCCCUCCAGACUAAGAGCAACCCCUCAACGUGCCAACAGCACCCAGACCCAAUACAAUUGAUCAAUGGACCAAGCUACCCCAGGGAUAACAGCGCAAUCUCCUCCGAGAGUCCAUAUCGACGGGGAGGUUUACGACCUCGAUGUUGGAUCAGGACAUCCUAGUGGUGCAGGAGCUACUAAGGGUUCGUUUGUUCAACGAUUAACAGUCCUACGUGAUCUGAGUUCAGACCGGAGCAAUCCAGGUCGGUUUCUAUCUAUGAUGAACUCUUCCUCGUACGAAAGGAUCGGAAAAGUGAGGCCAAUACCACAAGCAAGCCUUCGCCUUAAGUAAUGAAGCCAACUCAAUUACAAAAGGCUAUCACACCACCCACAUCCUAGAAAAGGACAUCA
This 989-nucleotide ribosomal RNA is filed under the name Galerida magnirostris (large-billed lark). Its description in RNAcentral is "partial 16S ribosomal RNA". It matches the Rfam family "Bacterial large subunit ribosomal RNA", at positions 1512 to 2839 of the family's 2925-position model. Lineage: Eukaryota; Metazoa; Chordata; Aves; Passeriformes; Alaudidae. The record is from RNAcentral.